This 550-nucleotide ribosomal RNA is filed under the name uncultured Glomus. Its description in RNAcentral is "SSU rRNA". It matches the Rfam family "Eukaryotic small subunit ribosomal RNA", at positions 548 to 1098 of the family's 1831-position model. Lineage: Eukaryota; Fungi; Glomeromycota; Glomeromycetes; Glomerales; Glomeraceae. The record is from RNAcentral.
UUGGAGGGCAAGUCUGGUGCCAGCAGCCGCGGUAAUUCCAGCUCCAAUAGCGUAUAUUAAAGUUGUUGCAGUUAAAAAGCUUGUAGUUAAAUUUCGGGGUUAGUAGGUUGGUCAUGCCUCUGGUAUGUACUGGUCUCACUGAUUCCUCCUUCCUGAUGAACCGUAAUGCCAUUAAUUUGGUGUUGCGGGGAAUUUGGACUGUUACUUUGAAAAAAUUAGAGUGUUUAAAGCAGGCUAACGUCUGAAUACAUUAGCAUGGAAUAAUGAAAUAGGACGGAUUGAUUCUAUUUCGUUGGUUUCUAGGAUCACCGUAAUGAUUAAUAGGGAUAGUUGGGGGCAUUAGUAUUCAAUUGUCAGAGGUGAAAUUCUUGGAUUUAUUGAAGACUAACUACUGCGAAAGCAUUUGCCAAGGAUGUUUUCAUUAAUCAAGAACGAAAGUUAGGGGAUCGAAGACGAUCAGAUACCGUCGUAGUCUUAACCAUAAACUAUGCCGACUAGGGAUCGGAUGAUGUUGAUUUUUUAAUGACUCAUUCGGCGCCUUACGGGAAAC